CCAUAGCACAGGCUUCCUGUGUAUCUGAAACUCUCCAUUAGCCACCUUUGUCCAUGGAGAAUCAUGGCUUGUACCUGUCUCCAGGGAAAGGAAAUUAUUCCAGUGAAGAGAGCAUUUGAAAAGAAAGAUUUAAAAUGUACUAGCAUUCCAUAUUGUCUACCAUUCUCUGUUCAGACUCCUACAGAGUCCCAGGCCAGCUACAGAACUCUGUGUGGGGACUCUUCCAGGCCCAGAGCUGGACCUGCUCAAGGGGAGCAGGACUUAUGGGUCUGUUUGAACUGGACUCUAGAUCCAGGAAUUGUCUACAAAAGAAGAAGAGACCUGGGCAGGUCUGAGAUGGGGAUUUACAGAGAUGGCUCUGAGAAGCCGUUUAAAGGCAAGAAGUGUGGCCAAGGAAGAAAGCAAAAGACUGAGAGAAAAACCUGAGUUCAGAAGACAAGGGCUGCUCCUCUACUCAAAGCCAUGUGCAGAUGCUUUCUGGGUGCAUUGUUCCAUAUCAAGACUCUAAGGAUCAACAUUUAAUUCCAAGUGCAAUUUUAAAUUUGGAGAGAAAUUAUUAUAUUUCUAAGAAAUUGGCAAAAGAACCAUU
Long non-coding RNA from Mus musculus (house mouse), 589 nucleotides. RefSeq annotates it as predicted gene, 35361. The record is from RefSeq and is a predicted model, not a curated record. The transcript is spliced from 2 exons. NCBI's taxonomy places the organism in Eukaryota, Metazoa, Chordata, Mammalia, Rodentia, Muridae.